GUUUGUGCCCAGCUGCAGUGUACUAUUGUAAAUGUACUGUAUUACUGUUUAGCUUCUUAUUCUCUUCAUUUGACAGUUUUGUAGUGGCCAUGGAAAUGCUACAGUAUGGAGUUCUACUGAUGAUUAUUUCAUGUAUCAGUGGUCAGCCAUUGACCUCCUCUGAUUCUGUAGUGAAAAAACCUGGAGAAUCAGCCACUCUGUCCUGCACUGUGUCUGGAUUCUCAAUGAGCAGUUACUGGAUGCACUGGAUCCGUCAGAAACCAGGGAGAGGACUAGAGUGGAUUGGGUACAUUGACGGUGGCACCAGCACUAAUUUUGCACAGUCUCUACAAGGCCAGUUCUCCAUCACCAAAGACACAAGCAAAAACAAGCUGCAUUUAGAGUUGAAAAGCCUGAAGACUGAGGACACGGCUGUUUAUUACUGUGCAAGAGAGUCACAGUUAGACAAAAGACUACAAGGCUGUACAAAAACUAUUCAUGCAAGAUAGUUAUGAGGGCCUCCG
This is a non-coding RNA of Myxocyprinus asiaticus (Chinese sucker), 503 nucleotides long. The record is from the annotation of a RefSeq genome assembly. Lineage: Eukaryota; Metazoa; Chordata; Actinopteri; Cypriniformes; Catostomidae.